GCUAAGGCGCGAAAGCGUGGGGAGCAAACAGGAUUAGAUACCCUGGUAGUCCACGCCCUAAACGAUGUACACUAGUUGUUGGGAUGCUAGUCAUCUCAGUAAUGCAGCUAACGCAUUAAGUGUACCGCCUGGGGAGUACGGUCGCAAGAUUAAAACUCAAAGGAAUAGACGGGGACCCGCACAAGCGGUGGAGCAUGUGGUUUAAUUCGAAGAUACGCGAAGAACCUUACCUGGGCUUGAUAUCCUAAGAACCUUAUAGAGAUAUGAGGGUGCUAGCUUGCUAGAACUUAGAGACAGGUGCUGCACGGCUGUCGUCAGCUCGUGUCGUGAGAUGUUGGGUUAAGUCCCGCAACGAGCGCAACCCACGUAUUUAGUUGCUAACGGUUCGGCCGAGCACUCUAAAUAGACUGCCUUCGUAAGGAGGAGGAAGGUGUGGACGACGUCAAGUCAUCAUGGCCCUUAUGCCCAGGGCGACACACGUGCUACAAUGGCAUAUACAAUGAGACGCAAUACCGCGAGGUGGAGCAAAUCUAUAAAAUAUGUCCCAGUUCGGAUUGUUCUCUGCAACUCGAGAGCAUGAAGCCGGAAUCGCUAGUAAUCGUAGAUCAGCCAUGCUACGGUGAAUACGUUCCCGGGUCUUGUACUCACCGCCCGUCACACCAUGGGAGUUGAUUUCACUCGAAGCCGGAAUACUAAACUAGUUACCGUCCACAGUGGAAUCAGCGACUGGGGUGAAGUCGUAACAAGGUAACCGUAGGAGAACCUGCGGUUGGAUCACCUCCUUUCUA
This 788-nucleotide ribosomal RNA is filed under the name Campylobacter jejuni. RNAcentral's name for it is "bacterial SSU rRNA". It matches the Rfam family "Bacterial small subunit ribosomal RNA", at positions 745 to 1533 of the family's 1533-position model. Lineage: Bacteria; Pseudomonadati; Campylobacterota; Epsilonproteobacteria; Campylobacterales; Campylobacteraceae. The record is from RNAcentral.